Molecule: non-coding RNA, 4735 nt
Organism: Peromyscus maniculatus bairdii (prairie deer mouse)
Lineage: Eukaryota; Metazoa; Chordata; Mammalia; Rodentia; Cricetidae
Source: RefSeq, a predicted model, not a curated record
CGUGCGCGUGUGGCGGGACUCGGCUGGAGACCGCCCGCACUGAAAAACGCUGCGCGCGCCUAGAUGUGCGCAUGGAGGCCACGUGUGUGCGCGCCUCUGUGUGUACACCAAGGGCCAACUGUAUGCACGUCUGUGUGCAUGCGCAGGGAAUAGAGGGCCACGUGUCUGCCUCUGCGUGUGUGUGUGUGUGUGUGUGUGUGUGUGUGUGUGUGUGUGUGUGCCAACAGAGAAAGAUCUGUGGUGCGUGCCCUAGCUGCAUGUACACGUAGAAGGGCCACAUGUGGGCACACCUGUGUAUAUGCAGAUAGUAUAGCUGUAUACUAUCUGCAUAUACACAUGUAUGUAUGCAUGGAGUAUGAGUCGUGUGUGCACGCCUGAAGAUAUAUACAGAAAACCCUCUGUGCAUACAAAUAUGUAUACCCGUGUUUAAUGUCUGCGCACAGAAAACAUGUGUGUGUGUGUGUGUGUGUGUGUGUGUGUGUGUGUACAAAUAGAAGGGCCAGCUAUGUGCACAUGAGGAAAAAGAGGUGAGUUGUGGGAGUGCUUUCAAGUACCUGUAUGUGCACUCCAGAGCGAGGAGUCUUGUACAUUCACACAGAAUAAAGUGAAGACUGUGGGGAUGCACACACAUACUGUACACUGCAGAGACAUGGGGAUCCCAGCUACUGCUCAACUAUUCACCUCCACAGCCACAUGGCCUGAACUUGGGUUGCCAAUGCUUCAGGGCAGGAAGCAGCCUGAAAGACAGCUUGUCUGCUCCUUUCACUUCAGAAUCCAUCUACUUCGUCCCAGGAGGGGUCUGGUAGACCCUGAGCCCUGAAGACUCAGUCCAUCUUGGAGACCACUCCUUUAGGACUAAAGUUGGAGAGCCUGGGAAGAGAAUACGUAGCCAGGCCCCCCAAAUCAGUCCAAACGGUUCAGACAGAAUGGCUCUACUUUCCCCCAAGAAGCCUGGAGAGCAGAGCGCUGUUAAACACUAUCAGAGAACUGUUCAUGCCAGUGACGGAUGUUAGUCUGCCUGGGUCCCAGGACUCAGUCCCACAGCCCUUCUUUAGCAUCCAACUGGACUGUCAUGGCUGCUGUCCUGUUGCGAACACUCCUUCGAUGCUUGAAGGAAGCCGCUCCUUGCUAAGCAGAACCAUGAUUCCAGAGGCAGCAUCCAAGACGUGACUAUUUCAACAGCUUGCACCAGACUUUGUGCCAGCCAUCACAAGCCUUGGUAGACUGGUAAUACGAAGAGAUGACAAAGGCGUCCGCGGAGCAGUGACAGCCACAAGGGGGACUCUGAAGAGUUCCAGAGCAAGUUCUGGGCAAGAGCAACAAACAGCUACACAGGAAGUGAGGACAAGACUGCAGCAGACACUGGAAGACCUCACCAGAAGGUGAAGAGCCGCGAUGAAGAAGGCCAUGAUGAGGCAGGGAAGAGGAACGGGGUACCAGUCGCUGGAAGAGUUCCAGGGAGUUGCCAAGCCUCAAGGGGUAGCGGUCUCACUCUAGGCUUGAAAACUCCAACAAUAAUCAGUUCCCAGCACGCAGCACCCAUGCAGACACGCUGGCAGACACUGCCCAUGGCUGCUGAUGGGAGCCAAGGAUUCUGGGAGCUGCCAAGCGUUGUGGCAGCUGGGCAUUAAAGCCUGGAGUAAUCUAAGCCUCCAACUUUGGUAGCUCGAGCCCUAAGCUGGCUUCUAGAGCCUGGAGCAAUAGGCCCUUGGCUCUCAGGGAACAGAGUUGUAAGCCUCUGGAUCCUGCCAGUCAUCCCAUAAACGUCGGGCAUGUAAGGGCUGGGAUUACUAGCACUAGGGAAUCGUCUCCUUGCCUGAUCAUGUGUAUCUUGGGUAAAGCAGAAUGACCCAGCCAGCUGAUUAGUAAUAUAGAGGUCAGAGCUGUACCAAGUGCUGGGCUAAUUAACAUCUAUGAAGAGCUUUGAGGAGCACAGACCAAAGGCCUCCCUCAGAAAUAUGCAACAUAUGAUUACUGGACACCCCUAUUUUGCAUGGCUUUACAAUUAACCACCUUUAUGCUGACUACACCUGCUCCUGCCACUUCGGCUAAGCCCCACCUCCUUAAGCUGUCAAGCGUUUAAUUAACAUUGGUUCUGCGUGCCGGAAUUGAAACCAUGCAUGGAAGCCUUCAAAUGGCCAGGAGUCCUCCGAUUCUCUAGAUUCUCUAGUUCCCCUCCCCUCCCCCAGGUACCAGGGAAACAAAAGAAAGCCACCAUCCUGGUCUCGACCAACCAUGGGAAGCGGCACCUGCCUCCCAUGUGUAUUUAACAAGAGCGGAUUUCUUAACUAUGCGCAGAGUAACUUUACAUGACAGCCGCCUUCACCCGGAUUGUUUCGGACAGCCAUGAACUCAGUUCGCUGUAGGCUGCAGAGGGUCCUCAUCGCAUUCUGGAAGCCAAAUUCACAGGAGUUGGAAACCAGUGGUGACCAGGAUAAACAGUGGAGCCAGAGAAUGCAUAGAAUGGGUGGUUUGGGGGAAGUGUCACGGCAGAUUGGUUUCCCGAUUUUUGCUUAUAAUUUGUGACAGACAGACCUGUUUCUUGGGUGAUGGGUAGCCAGGAAGCACUACAAUAAAUGGACUUCAAAUAAGACAUACUCUCCAAUAUGCACCUUAGUUACUGCCAUCGUUACUGAGACAGAAAUACCCGAGAGAAUUCACUUAAGGGAGGAAAGAUGUAUUUUGACACAUGGUUUCAUGGUUUUAUGGUCAUCUGGCCCCAAACAGAAUAUCAUGGUGAUGGGCGGUAGUGGCACACACCUUAAAUCCCAGCACCCCGGAGGCAGAGCCAGGUGGAUCUCUGUGAGUUCGAGGCCAGCCUGGUCUACAGAGCGAGAUCCAGGACAGGCACCAAAACUACACAGAGAAACCCUGUGGGGGGGUGUAUCAUGGUGGAAGAAGAAGGUAGCUGAGGAGAGCUGUUCUUCACCCCCUUGGGAAGCAGCGAUUGAAACUGGGUUGUUGUAUACCAUUUCCAUCCUGUGGGGGAAGAUUCCCAAUGUUCUGAGGGAGGCUCCUUAAGACUCAGGAAGCAGAGUCUGGAGAGAUGGCUCCACAGCUAAGAGCACUUGCUGUCCUUGCAGAGGACUGGGAUCUGGUUCCUAGCACCCACACACACACACGACAGCUUAUGACCAUCCGUAAUUCCAGGUCCAGGAGAUCUGGCACCCUCUACUGGCCUCUAGGCACCAGACAUAUAUAUGGUGCACAUACGUACAUGCAGGCAAACACACACACAUUCCAAAGACAAACAAACAAACAAACAAACAAAAACAAAUCUUAAAAAAGUCAGGAAGUAAACAACUCCAGAGCUUCCAGAAGUCCCUGAUACCAAAUGCACUAGGAGCCUCCCUCCCCAAGCUUAUGUAAGCAGAGGGGACCGCCGAGAGACAACCUCAGACAAGCCCAGCCGUCUGGAAAAGACUGUGACCAACUGAGCUACACAUUUCAACCGUUGAGAUGCCUUCAAGUUGUGCGAACAGCUCUAGGUUUCCAGUUUCCACGUGUCGUCUCUGGGGUGGCUUUUGGCGAUGCAGCUGUCUCUGGGUCAUGCGGGGAUCUCUGCGAUCUUCACGGGUCACAGAGACAGGAGCCACAGGAGGCAAGGGGCAGUUCAGCUUGACACGACUCAGUAGCAGAGUCCGAAUCCGAGUUGUUUAAUUUGGGCAUAUUUAAACACAGCACAAUUGGGCGAAAACUUUUCUUGUGAAGAUUAACUCAAUCCCACAUACACAACAAAGCACAUCCUAAUCUCUUUGAGAAACAAAGCAAGCAAAAUACGGAGCAGACAACAAUGAUGGAACUCUUUGUAAGGUACGUGCGACCCCUUCUGUAAAGAUGGGCUCUAUAGAUUGACUAUGUGUGAUACCUUCCACAAAGAUGAGUUUCCAUGGAUGGACUAAGAAAAACCAGUUUACAAGAAGGGUCUGGAGGAGGGUCUGGUGCCAGAAAGUCUUCGGCCAUGCAGAUUGCGCAAACGUCAUCGGGCUAGAAAAUGUGUCCACUCCAGCCUUCUGGGUGUAAAACAGGUUUUGCAUUCCUUCCCUGGAAGGAAGGAACAGCCCUUUGUUUUUAACAUUCCGGGUCCCCCUGGUGCAUGUCCGUGAGCACGAAGGCCCGAGUGUCCCCUACAGGGACAUUUCUGCUCACUCACACGCCUAUAGUCACACCAGCCAAACCCCCUGACUCACCACAUGGGGCUACAGCGGGAGCCUCAUUUUGUCCUGUGCUUGGUUCUCUAUCCGGGGUGAGUAGAUGUUUUCUUCACAACGUGUUACACAACAGGGACACAGGAAGGAGCCGAGAUGAGAUGAACCCAAAGGACAUGUCUCCAGCGACCUGCUCCCGGGCGCCAGGCCCCACCUCCUCCAUUUCGCCUUCUCUCAAUAACGCCAUCAUAUUAUGACUUCGCUGAGGGAUUAAUCCACUGACUCGGUCGGAGCCCUUGGGUCUCUGGAAAUGCCCUUACGCAUCCCCAGAGGUGUGCUUUAUUAAUAUCCUAGGCAUUUCCUAAGCCAGUCAUGUUGACAAUCAAAAUUUCCAUCGUGGGGGCUGAGGAGAUAGUUCGGGGGGUAAAAUGUUUGCCAUGGAAGCAUGAUGGCCUGAGUUCAGAUCCCCAGCAUCCAUAUAAAAAGCCGUAACAUCAGUGGUUCUAAACCUUCCUAAGGCUGCGAUCCUCUAUUAUGGUUCCUCGUGUUGUGGUCACCCCCCAACCAUAAAAUUAUUUUUGUUGCUA